UCUGAACUUGUACGAAUUAG
This 20-nucleotide microRNA is filed under the name Corchorus olitorius. RNAcentral describes it as "cin-miR-4002-". The record is from RNAcentral. Lineage: Eukaryota; Viridiplantae; Streptophyta; Magnoliopsida; Malvales; Malvaceae.